GAUGAACGCUGGCGGCGUGCCUAAUACAUGCAAGUCGAACGCACAGCGAGAGGUGCUUGCACCUUUCAAGUGAGUGGCGAACGGGUGAGUAACACGUGGACAACCUGCCUCAAGGCUGGGGAUAACAUUUGGAAACAGAUGCUAAUACCGAAUAAAACUCAGUGUCGCAUGACACAAAGUUAAAAGGCGCUUUGGCGUCACCUAGAGAUGGAUCCGCGGUUCAUUAGUUAGUUGGUGGGGUAAAGGCCUACCAAGACAAUGAUGCAUAGCCGAGUUGAGAGACUGAUCGGCCACAUUGGGACUGAGACACGGCCCAAACUCCUACGGGAGGCUGCAGUAGGGAAUCUUCCACAAUGGGCGAAAGCCUGAUGGAGCAACGCCGCGUGUGUGAUGAAGGCUUUCGGGUCGUAAAGCACUGUUGUAUGGGAAGAACAGCUAGAAUAGGGAAUGAUUUUAGUUUGACGGUACCAUACCAGAAAGGGACGGCUAAAUACGUGCCAGCCGCCGCGGUAA
This 513-nucleotide ribosomal RNA is filed under the name uncultured bacterium. Its description in RNAcentral is "partial 16S ribosomal RNA". It matches the Rfam family "Bacterial small subunit ribosomal RNA", at positions 28 to 523 of the family's 1533-position model. The record is from RNAcentral.